UGUCUAUUAAUUGUAGACCAGCAUGAAAGGCAAUAUGAGGGUCUAACUGUCUCUUAUAAUAAAUCAAUUAAACUGAUCUUCUAGUAAAAAAGCUAGAAUCCCACCAUAAGACCAGAAGACCCUGUGAAGCUUAAACUAAACUAUUAAAACAAAUAAUAGCUAUUUUCGGUUGGGGCGACCUUGGAAAAAAAAAGAACUUCCAACAUACUAAUAACCAAACCCUACAGGCCCACAAGCCACACACUAAUGUAAUGACCCAGCAGGACUGAUCAUUGAACCAAGUUACUCCAGGGAUAACAGCGCUAUCUUCUUCAAGAGCCCAUAUCAAAAAGAAGGUUUACGACCUCGAUGUUGGAUCAGGACAUCCUAACGGCGCA
RNAcentral lists this ribosomal RNA (377 nucleotides) under Oxyrhopus melanogenys. RNAcentral's name for it is "partial 16S ribosomal RNA". It matches the Rfam family "Bacterial large subunit ribosomal RNA", at positions 1970 to 2557 of the family's 2925-position model. The record is from RNAcentral. Lineage: Eukaryota; Metazoa; Chordata; Lepidosauria; Squamata; Dipsadidae.